This is an RNA transcript of Solenopsis invicta (red fire ant), 5100 nucleotides long. It is a transcript of the gene named protein held out wings, with no coding region annotated. The record is from RefSeq and is a predicted model, not a curated record. Lineage: Eukaryota; Metazoa; Arthropoda; Insecta; Hymenoptera; Formicidae. The transcript has 8 exons.
CCUUUCCUACCCACCACCAUCGCUCCCACGUCGCUUCUCGCGAUCUACGAUCUACCGCGGCGCGCGCGUUUUACCAGUGGCAUCGUUCCUGAAAACGCAAUAGUCAACUGUGACAACACGCGAGUGUGCGAAGAGGCGCGCGCACGCGUUUCCUCGAUUGGAGAAAGAGAUCGGGAACCGAGGCGGUCCAGUGACCAAGUUGAGGGGGGACGAAUUGUCGGAACUAAUCAGGGGAAAGAGCGAAAGAGUCGUUCAAACGUUAGCCCGAGGAGAAAAGCGAUCAAGCGGAAAUCUUGUUCUCUGUCACGUCAGGAAAGAAAAAUAGGAGCGAGAGAGACGCAAAAGAAAAACCAAAGAGAAAGAUACGAACCGCGUACGCGGCAAACGAGGCGACUUUACGACUCCCUCGUCGGAGGAGUGUCGCUCGCCCUCGCGCGUUCGCUCUCCGGUUUCCCUCCCUUCCCUCUCUCCCCGCUGCCGUCCUUUCCCCUCUCUCUCCGCGCUCGAGCCACCCCCGCUUCGCUCAAGAUUCCUCCACACACAUACAUACGCAUACACACGCACACACAUCAUCGGUCGUAGUCAUCUCGUCUCUCUCUCUCUCUCUCUUUCCUCAUCUCCCCCCCACUCGUCGCCGCUGCCGCCGCCGCCUUCGCUGCGGAUCCUUUUCUUUUAAACGCUCCUUCGUCAGUACGUCUCCACCCGUCCGCGCGCGCUUGAUGCUCUCCCGUGACCGGAGAGAGAACAACUCCGCCGUUCUCCGUCCGUUCCGACACUGCGCCGCCGUCGCCGCCGCCGCCGCCGCCGUUGCUCCGCCGCCGCCGCCGCCGUCGCCGCAGUCAUCGCAGUCGCCGCGCACCGUCGCGGUCCGCUCGCUCACUCGCUUGCCCUCUUCCUUCUUGAGUGUUGCAUUAAGCGUGCCCGCGCGCGCCCAACACGCGCCAACAUUCGCCAUUGAAGCAGCCGAGUACAAUUUGCGAUGUGUGAUAAUACUAACACGACGACGCAGAGUAUAGCGGACUACCUGUCACAGUUGCUGAAGGACCGGAAGCAGCUAGCUGCCUUCCCAAAUGUCUUUAUUCACGUGGAGCGGCUGCUGGACGAGGAGAUCGCGAAGGUGCGGGCGAGUCUUUUUCAAAUCAGCGGAGUGAAGAAGGAGCCGCUCGUUUUGCCGGAGCCCGAUGGCGACAUCACGACGCUCACGGAGAAGGUUUAUGUGCCCGUUAAGGAACACCCAGAUUUCAACUUUGUCGGGAGGAUUCUGGGUCCGCGGGGUAUGACCGCGAAACAACUGGAGCAGGAGACAGGAUGCAAGAUCAUGGUGCGCGGAAAAGGGUCGAUGAGGGACAAGAAGAAGGAGGAACAGAAUCGAGGCAAGCCGAAUUGGGAGCACCUGACGGACGAGUUGCACGUGCUGCUCACUGUCGAGGACACUGAGAAUCGUGCCACGUUGAAGCUCGCCCGUGCCGUCGAGGAAGUCAAGAAGCUACUCGUGCCCGUGCAGGCUGACGGCGAGGAUGAGCUAAAGAAGAGGCAGCUAAUGGAACUCGCCAUUAUCAAUGGGACUUACCGGGAUUCGAACACAAAGGUUGCCGCCGCGGCAGCCUGCGACGAGGAGUGGCGGCGGGUAGCCGCCGCCGCGGCAGAGACUCAACGCCUGCUGCCUGGACUGGCGACGCCGAUGCGGACGCCGAGCGCGCCCCUGGGCGCGCCCCUGAUUCUGUCGCCGCGAAUAUCGGUGCCCACGACCGCGGCGUCUCUGCUGAACGGCUCCGGGCCGCCCGGCUCGCUCCUGUCGGCCGGCGAUCCCCACGGUCUCAUCUACACGCCGUACGCGGACUACGCCAACUACGCCGCCCUGGCCGCCUCGCCUUUGCUCACCGAGUACGCCACUGCUGAUCAUUCUGGCGCAGCGGCGGCCGCCGCCAAGCAGCGUAGGCACCUGGGUCAGAUCCGCGAGCACCCUUAUCAAAGGGCCGGCGCUCUCUCGUGAACACACAGAGACGGUGCGAGUACGUAGAGAGAGAGAGAAAGAGAGAGAGCGCGCGCGAAAGAGAGAGAGAGAAAAAGCGAGAGAGAGAGAAAGAGCGAAAAAGAGAGAGAAACAGAGCACUGUUCUCGCGCCAUCGCGGAAAGGCUUGGAGUGCUAACAAUGGAUAUCCACUCGCCCCGUGCUAACACCUGGACUCUGGAACAGCAUCCCGCGUUCGAUCGGUUCACCAACCAGCCGACCACCUUCGCCGUCCGUCCGCGUCACCAGCCCCGUUCGUCAAGCUUAUCCAUCAUCCUGUAUCCUCUUAAUGUUCGGAAACGUUAGUUUCUUUCGCGCGUCUCGGCGAUCGACGGAGUCGUCGCCGAUUUGGAAUCCGAGCCACUUCGCGCCGUCGUCGUAACCCGUCGACGGCGGCACGAGUUAUCGUCUCACUUCGCAAAAAAUCGUUGCGAGGUAUAUUAGCAUAAUAUAUGCAUGGAGAUUUGGGACGCUAUAUACAUUAUAAAAUAAUAUAUAAAUAUCAUAACAUAUAUUAAUAUAUAUUAAAUAUAUAUCUAUCAAUAUAUUUCAUAUAUAUUAUAUAUUUUACACAGAAUCCCCGCACGCGCCUUUUUGCGAGUAAAACGCGGGACUAUUCCUUGUUUUGGACGCGAGUCAGGUAUGCGCAAUUCGAAUUCAGUGCAACGUUAGCGGUAGUAACACUAGUUUUUAGUUUAUCGGAUUUUAUUUUUACUCUCCCGGGGAGGGGGAUUAUUUGUUGUAGCACACGCGCGCGCGCGCGAUGUGUCUCCGGAGUAUUUUUAUUUUCUCUCUCUUCUCGCGGCAGCGAUGAAAUGUUGUUCGCGUUUUCCCCAGUACUUAUGACUACGCUGGCACCUCUCCGUCUCUGGAGGUGGCAGCGCGAGAAUGUGACAACGUUAACAUAACUUAAACGCAAUGUUUAUAUUUACGCGCAUUUUUAGAGCUAACUGCUGAAGAGGAAGGUGUCGCGCGAAAAAAAAACCGAGAACUCGCGAAGACCUCGUCGGAGAAAAUCGCGAUUGAUGCCAACGUGUUUUCCCUUUUUUUUUCUUUUUUUUUCUUCGCGCAACACACCUCUCACGUCGGAGAAGCUGUCGAAAUUCUGUACAACUCUCUCGCAUAAAUGUGCCUUAUGUAAUAUUAACGUAGUGCGGCGUAACCGCGUUACCGUUCUAGAUAAAGCUUGGUUAUCGAUAGACUCUACGUAGUAGCGUUAGAACUGUGCAAUCAAAAUUUAAUUUUCUCGCGAUAUGUAUAUCCCUGGAAAGAAAAGGACAAUGCCGGUUAGAUCGCUCUCCCAACAGUGUUUCUCGUUACGUUGCGAGAAGGAUCGUUGGGAACAUCCGUAGUUAGAAUCACCAAUAUCCCGAAGAGAAGGCUUUAAGAGUAUGCGUCGUAUGCGGAUGCACGAGAGCUACAUGUAUAUAUAUUAUUUCAGCUGAAAGUAUUAAGAGAAGUGCUAUUCGCAGAGAAUAUUCUAGGACGUCAAUGUGCAAUACGUUGAUGAGAGAAAAGUGGCAGGGCGUUCAAAACGCGUUGCCAAGAUUCGUUGAAUAAAUUGCAGACUUUUAACUUUGCGAAAAAUGUACAAUUCAAGCUGCAGGAUUAUCGAGUAGAUAUAUAUAUAUAUAUAAAUAUAUAUUUACAUAAAUAUUAAUAAGAUAUAUCAUGUGGCAAAACGACGGAAACGAAAACAAUGGAGGUAUGGAGACCUGUUAUAAUUUUCCGCGACGCGGAAUUAUUUGCGAGAUAUAAUUAUAUGAGUAUAAGCAAAAAAAAAAUAUAAUCUCUGUCUACAUACGUGUAAAGAGUGUUUGUGCAUGAGAGAGUGAUUUACUUAAUAUUCGACUUUAUUAUUAUUAUAUUAGAGAGUUGCACCACUUUUAGGUCUGCCAUAUUGUACAUGUAACGAUUAAGAAUGAUAUCAAGUUGCACGCGUUAUAUAAUCUGUAUAGUCAUUCAUGUGUCAAAUGUUAUACUCGUUCUUUCGACAGAUAUUUUGAAUUUUGUCCGAGGAGUCCCUCCUAGGUAUACCGAUAGCUUGGUCCUUCGUGUAUAUAAGCGUUGAAAAAUAUACACGCACACAUUUAAGAGUGAUCUGAAAUCUACUUAAGUUUUCAACGUAAAAAAAAAUAAAUAUAUCCGAUAUAUAUAUUUUAUUAUUGUACGUAAAUAAUUGAUUUAUAUAACGAAAAUAUUUUGGAUAUCAUUGUCCCCUAUUAAGUGCGAUUAUAAUAUACGAAUUAUAUACGCGCAUUCGCGAGCGUGAUUAUACACACAGAACAGAUAUGUAUACUCUUUAUGUAUAUGCUGUCUAAUAUAUAUAUGCGCGUGAGAACGUAAAUUAUUACACAUGUAUACACAUAAUGUAUUAUACAUAUGCACUGAUUCACAGUUGAACAUCUGAACGGUAUGAAUAAAUACCGCUGUAAUUUACUUCUGCAUCAAAUGGCGAUUUAUCGAGUAUCUCUGUUAUAAUUUUGAAAAACAAAAUCAUUUUAAUAUUUGCGUUAUAUUAGAAAGAAUAAAUAAUUUAUACAGUUUAUAUUAUCGCAGUUUGCACUGCCUUAUCAAUUAUAUAAACUAUAUAUAUUGUAUAAACAUACGACUUUUUUAUGAUUUUUAAUAAUUCUACGAAAGAUUAUUAUUAUUAUUACCGCAGAAGUAAACACGGGCGAAAUUUAUUCACACCCUGUUAUCGUAUUUAUAAAUAUAUAAAGAUAAGUUACAUAAGAAAUUAUGUGCAAACAAUCUUGUUAGAUCUUACGGCAUGCGAAUUUACAUUUAUCAUUCUAUAGUUAUAUAGUUUUUUUUUGCCGAAAUUUAUUGUAUGAUAAUUUUUUAGUUUCAUAUUUUAUUUUAAUGUUGAUAUAUGUGCAGGAUAUGUGGCAAUAUUAAUGUGUAAGUGACAAUGAAAAGCAAUUCUUGUUUUCUGAAAUCUCGGAAAGAUCUGAAUAUGAAUCAUAGUAUACUGUACGCUACUUAUGGAAGAAAAUUUACAAUUUACAAUGAAAGUGCAAAUAAAAUAGUUUAUACAAACAUGUAUAAAUACUAUUAUGAACGGUAAUAAAAAUAUUUUUUCAAUA